CCAUGCCGGACCCUGACGUGCUAUCAGAGUGGGACUAAGCCACAUGUGGAGUCAACGCAGACAAUGCGUGGCAUACGAGCUCAGUAACACGUAGUCAACAUGCCCAGGGGACGUGGAUAACCUCGGGAAACUGAGGAUAAACCGCGAUAGGCCAAGGUUUCUGGAAUGGAUCAUGGCUGAAACCUAUAUGGCCCCUGGAUUGGACUGCGGCCGAUCAGGCUGUUGGUGAGGUAAUGGCCCACCAAAAACCUGUAACCGGUACGGGCUCUGAGAGGAGGAGCCCGGAGAUGGGCACUGAAGAACAAGGGCCCAGGCCCUAUGGGGCUCAGCAGGCGCGAUACCUCUGCAAUAGGCGAAGCUUGACAGGGUUACUCUGAGUGAUGUCCGGUAAGGGCAUCUCUUGGCCCCUCUUAAAUGGUGCAGAAUAAGGGGUGGGCAAGUCUGGUGUCAGCCGCCCGGUAAUACCAGCACCCCGAGUGGUCGGGACGAUUAUUGGGCCUAAAGCAUCCGUAGCCGGUUCUGCAAGUCUUCCGUUAAAUCCACCUGCUCAACAGAUGGGCUGCGGGGGAUACUACAGGGCUAGGAGGCGGGAGAGGCAACCGGUACUCAGUGGGUAGGGGUAAAAUCCUCUGAUCCACUGAAGACCACCAGUGGCGAAGGCGGCUUGCCAGAACGCGCUCGACGGUGAGGGAUGAAAGCUGGGGGAGCAAACCGGAUUAGAUACCCGGGUAGUCCCAGCUGUAAACGAUGCAGACUCGGUGAUGGGUUGGCUUCGAGCCAACCCAGUGCCGCAGGGAAGCCGUUAAGUCUGCCGCCUGGGGAGUACGGUCGCAAGACUGAAACUUAAAGGAAUUGGCGGGGGAGCACCACAGGGGGUGAAGCCUGCGGUUCAAUUGGAUUCAACGCCGGA
This 910-nucleotide ribosomal RNA is filed under the name uncultured archaeon. RNAcentral's name for it is "bacterial SSU rRNA". It matches the Rfam family "Archaeal small subunit ribosomal RNA", at positions 12 to 922 of the family's 1478-position model. The record is from RNAcentral.